RNAcentral lists this ribosomal RNA (687 nucleotides) under uncultured bacterium. Its description in RNAcentral is "bacterial SSU rRNA". It matches the Rfam family "Bacterial small subunit ribosomal RNA", at positions 118 to 819 of the family's 1533-position model. The record is from RNAcentral.
UGAGUAAUGUGCCCUGGACUCUGGGAUAGCCACCGGAAACGGUGAUUAAUACCGGAUAUGACCACUCUAGGCAUCUAGUGGUGGUGGAAAGUUUUUCGGUCCAGGAUGUGCUCGCGGCCUAUCAGCUUGUUGGUGAGGUAAUGGCUCACCAAGGCUUUGACGGGUAGCCGGCCUGAGAGGGUGACCGGUCACACUGGGACUGAGACACGGCCCAGACUCCUACGGGAGGCAGCAGUGGGGAAUAUUGGACAAUGGGCGGAAGCCUGAUCCAGCAACGCCGCGUGAGGGAUGACGGCCUUCGGGUUGUAAACCUCUUUCAGUACCGACGAAGCGAAAGUAACGGUAGGUACAGAAGAAGGACCGGCCAACUACGUGCCAGCAGCCGCGGUAAUACGUAGGGUCCGAGCGUUGUCCGGAAUUAUUGGGCGUAAAGGGCUCGUAGGCGGUUUGUCGCGUCGGGAGUGAAAACAGCGGGCUUAACUCGUUGCUUGCUUUCGAUACGGGCAGACUAGAGGUAUGCAGGGGAGAAUGGAAUUCCUGGUGUAGCGGUGAAAUGCGCAGAUAUCAGGAGGAACACCGGUGGCGAAGGCGGUUCUCUGGGCAUUACCUGACGCUGAGGAGCGAAAGUGUGGGGAGCGAACAGGAUUAGAUACCCUGGUAGUCCACACCGUAAACGUUGGGCGCUAG